Molecule: ribosomal RNA, 206 nt
Filed under: uncultured bacterium
Lineage: Bacteria
Description: partial 16S ribosomal RNA
Rfam family: Bacterial small subunit ribosomal RNA
Source: RNAcentral
UGUGUAGGCGGCGCGGUAAGUCGGGUGUGAAAUCUCGGAGCUUAACUCCGAAACUGCAUUCGAUACUGCCGUGCUUGAGGACUGGAGAGGAGACUGGAAUCUACGGUGUAGCGGUGAAAUGCGUAGAUAUCGUAAGGAAGACCAGUGGCGAAGGCGGGUCUCUGGACAGUUCCUGACGCUGAGACACGAAGGCCAGGGAGCAAACG